RNAcentral lists this ribosomal RNA (492 nucleotides) under uncultured bacterium. RNAcentral's name for it is "partial 16S ribosomal RNA". It matches the Rfam family "Bacterial small subunit ribosomal RNA", at positions 29 to 507 of the family's 1533-position model. The record is from RNAcentral.
AGUGAACGCUGGCGGUAGGCCUAACACAUGCAAGUCGAACGGCAGCACAGUAAGAGCUUGCUCUUACGGUUGGCGAGUGGCGGACGGGUGAGGAAUACAUCGGAAUCUACUUUUUCGUGGGGGAUAACGUAGGGAAACUUACGCUAAUACCGCAUACGACCUACGGGUGAAAGCAGGGGAUCUUCGGACCUUGCGCGAUUGAAUGAGCCGAUUUCGGAUUAGCUAGUUGGCGGGGUAAAGGCCCACCAAGGCGACGAUCCGUAGCUGGGCUGAGAGGAUGAUCAGCCACACUGGAACUGAGACACGGUCCAGACUCCUACGGGAGGCAGCAGUGGGGAAUAUUGGACAAUGGGCGCAAGCCUGAUCCAGCCAUACCGCGUGGGUGAAGAAGGCCUUCGGGUUGUAAAGCCCUUUUGUUGGGAAAGAAAAGCAGCAGGUUAAUACCCCGCUGUUCUGACGGUACCCAAAGAAUAAGCACCGGCUAACUUCGUG